UUUAAUUCAUUUAAAUUACAGGUAGCCUUAACACAGUAGCAUUGAAGUUGAAUAAACCUUCAGCUCGAGACACCGUGCACCGUAUUCUCAAUGAAUUUGACCUUCCCACUAAAUAUGUGGACAAUCUUCCAGAGUCACUGCACGAACCAGAUAGGAAGAUAAAGUGGCAUCAACCAUUUCAUGGUGGCUCAAGCACCUUUAACCCUGAGGACGAGCUGUAUUCAGCCAGACUGAGGGAAAAUCUGAACUCAUGGCUGAUCUAGAACAUGGGGAGGCCGAGAGAAGAUAAGCCGUCAGUGAGCCUAUUCGCCAAGAUAUUGUGAGACUCCGCCACAGUUUGAUGGAGGAGCUGAAUCUGAGUCAGCUCUCUUGGCAGCGAGGUCUUGGCACGACACACUUGCGAGGCUGCCUUCAGGGUCUCAAGGCACUCACCAUGCACCAUCAGGUGAUUAAGGAAAUUUUGUAAGGUCGGGCUGUCCAUUUUGGGAAUGAGACGGGUGUGAGUUUGGAAGGACAUGUCGUUCUUAGUACGGCUCCUCCCCGACUUACGACUGGGUUAGGGACCCAAAUCCAGGUCGUAAGUCGAAAUGGUUGUAAGUCAAAAAUGCUUAAAUAAUACUUAGAA
This is a long non-coding RNA of Homarus americanus (American lobster), 625 nucleotides long. RefSeq lists it as uncharacterized. Lineage: Eukaryota; Metazoa; Arthropoda; Malacostraca; Decapoda; Nephropidae. The record is from RefSeq and is a predicted model, not a curated record. The transcript is spliced from 3 exons.